CAAAAGUUUGGUCCCGACUUUACUGUCAGCUCCAGCUAAACUUACACAUGCAAGUAUCCGCACCCCCGUGAGAAUGCCCUUACAGUUCCCCGCGCGGGAGCAAGGAGCUGGUAUCAGGCACAAACAUUUUUUAGCCCAUAACGCCUUGCUCAGCCACACCCUCAAGGGAAUUCAGCAGUGAUAAAUAUUAAGCAAUAAGUGAAAACUUGACUUAGUUAAAGCUAAGAAGGCCGGUAAAACUCGUGCCAGCCACCGCGGUUAGACGAGAGGCCUAAGUUGACAACCAUCGGCGUAAAGAGUGGUUAAGGAAAACUAAAACUAAAGCCGAAUGUUUUCAUGGCUGUUAUACGCAUCCGAAAAUAAGAAGCUCCCCUACGAAAGUGGCUUUAACCCACCUGACCCCACGAAAGCUGUGAAACAAACUGGGAUUAGAUACCCCACUAUG
This 445-nucleotide ribosomal RNA is filed under the name Belone belone. RNAcentral describes it as "partial small subunit ribosomal RNA". It matches the Rfam family "Bacterial small subunit ribosomal RNA", at positions 7 to 794 of the family's 1533-position model. Lineage: Eukaryota; Metazoa; Chordata; Actinopteri; Beloniformes; Belonidae. The record is from RNAcentral.